RNAcentral lists this long non-coding RNA (452 nucleotides) under Sus scrofa (pig). RNAcentral describes it as "lncRNA (ENSSSCG00040010591.1)". The record is from RNAcentral. Lineage: Eukaryota; Metazoa; Chordata; Mammalia; Artiodactyla; Suidae.
GAACUGGAGACUUUGAAGAAAUCGUGGAUCCGGGGCCGGGCAGGGAAGGACCAGGACUGGCUGAAGGGUCCCGAGCCAGGAGGAAAUGGGGUGCUCACAGACGCAAAGUCCCGCCCCGCAGAAACGUAUUAACUGCGGAGAGCGAAGCUUACCUUUGCCGCAGGGAACCCGGGCAGAUCUUCCUUCAUCAAAUGGCCAAAUCAGACCAGGCCCCCACGCCCUGUGGGACCCCUCCAGGACCCAGCGUCCCCUCCGGGACGUCCCCGGAUGACCAGCCCCUCCCGCAGCAAACACAGCAAACCACGCGCGCGCGGAGCAGCAGGCAGCCGCCAGCGACGGCCGUUCUGGAGAACGACCCGUUGUCCCGGCGAGGGUCGAGGUCGUGCCAGGCGAGGACAGGUCACUCCAGGCUGAAGGACAUUAAAGGGACGUGGCCUUCCAAGCGGAGCUGG